Molecule: long non-coding RNA, 4802 nt
Filed under: Capsicum annuum
Lineage: Eukaryota; Viridiplantae; Streptophyta; Magnoliopsida; Solanales; Solanaceae
Description: long non-coding RNA (CANN_LNC015142)
Source: RNAcentral
AUUAAGUUUCCACACUGUCAUGCCACCACUCUACAUUGUUUUUUUUCCCUUCUUAUCACUUCUGUUUUCUUGAUUUCUCAUACAAAAUCAAUCAUCACUUCAAUGGAGAAAGUGAGUUUCAGAAUAGAAGUCCUCAGCAGACACCUAAGUCAAAAAACAUCAACUCCCAAGUAUACAUUCCAAUCAGUCCCAUGUCUUAGCUACAAGCCACCUGAGCUUUCAGAACCAUCUGCUGUUUUCAACAUAAAAGAGAUGAGAAAGCUCGUGGAUGGUCACAAUUUGAAGGAAAGGGAGUGGCUUUUUGGUCUGAUGUUACAAAGCAAUCUUUUUAACCCAAUAGAAAGGGGUGGCAAAGUGUUUGUUUCCCAUGAUUACAGUCAGUCUAAGGAACAACAAAGGGAAAUUACCAUGAGGAGAAUUGAGUACCUUCUUGAACAUGGGGUUUUCAAGAAAUGGUUUACUGGUAAAGGGCCUGAAAAUGAGUGGAGGAAGUUAGCUUUCUCGGAUUGUGUUGGCGUCUUUGAUUAUUCACUUAGCAUCAAGCUUGGAGUCCAUUUGACCCUAUGGUAUGUUCUUGUCCAUUGUGUGCCUAUUUUUAAUAUCCGGAAGUUAGUGGCCUAACUAAUUUGCAUACCUCUCCGGUAGGUCCCAACUAAGGGAGAAGUUAUCUAUUCUCGAGGCCUGAACUCGAGACGUAUGGUUGAGGGGGAGACAUUUGGUUAAGUGUGGCGUCCACUAAGAGAUAAGUUCUUCAUUCCCGAGAGUUGAACCCUUGGCCUAUGGUUAAGGGUUAGAAUUGUAGUUAAGACUUAAGAGGUUCUUCAUUUCUAAGACUUGGUAGAACCCGACUCUUGUGGUUAAGUGCAAAACUUUGGUUAAGUGUGAAGGGGGUCACCUCCAUCCCACCUCACCUCUUGAUGGUCCGAAUGAUAAAUUGCUAUAAUGGUUGUUGUUACUGUUUGUUUUUCACUCAAAUUAGUUGGGAUCAAAUAUAUGAAUCGGCUUUGUCUAUCUCAGAGAACUCAUAAUUCCACUCUUUUUACUAUGGUUGUCAUAAGACAUUAUUAUUGAAUAGGAAUAAGAAAGAGUAUAAGUAGACAUUAAAUUUUCCUGUACGGACAUUCUUGAUUGCUUGAUUGAUUGGUUAAAGAAAGCUUACUUGGCAACUUUAGACCACCCAUCUGUGGAGGGUAGGAUGUACGCAAACCCUACCCCUGCCUUUGUGGGGUAGAUAGUUUGUUUCCGGUAGACCCUUGGCUCAAAACAAAAGUUUUUUAAGCAAGGAAAAUGCAAUAGAAAAAUAGCAAAAUAGCAAGAUACAAAGCAAAUGAAACAACAGACGGUACCACACAUUGAAAAAUAAGAAACAAAGCAAAUGCUAACUAGUACUACCACUACUAAUAGGAGGGGUAUUAUAUAAUUUUUUGAAUUAAUUUAAAUUGAAAAGUAUUAUAUAAAUUAGAAAGUCGUUUGUUUACAUUGAUGGGAUGUAUAAGAAUAUUUCAUGAGAUCCAUUAUCCCACCUUUUGUAUGAAAUUGCUAAUUUCACCAUUUUGUACAAAAUUAUUUUUGGAGCUAAUCAACAUCUAUAUUCAAAUAUGUAUAAAUUAGAAAGUCGUUUGUUUACAUUGAUGGGAUGUAUAAGAAUAUUUCAUGAGAUCCAUUAUCCCACCUUUUAUAUGAAAUAGCUAAUGUCACCAUUUUGUACAAAAUUAUUUUCGGAGCUAAUCAACAUCCAUAUUCAAAUAUGAGACUGAGUUGUUGUUCGGUAGCUGGUUAGAAUUAUGCAGGUAUUAGCUAUUCUAUCCUCUACUCCGUAUAAGAUAAUACACCAAUUCCCUCAUAACUCAUACAUGUAUUAGUUACGAGUUUCUAAAUUGCAAACCAAACUUCAUAUUAGUUUUAAUCACGAAUAAUUUAUUUCCUAAUUAACUACCAAACAUUGUAUAACUUAUACAAAAUUUAAUAAAUAUAUAAAUUGCUUCUUUACUAGCUACCAAACGACGACUGAUUGUUUGUUAUUGUAGUUGUCAGUCAACUAUGAGGUAAAAUAAUCAGACAUUUUGAAAUUUUCAGCUAUUGAUGUAGCCUCUUUGGAUGCUGAUCUAGAAUCCUUAUUUUUUAAAUUAUUAACAACCACCUAGCCCACCAACUUUGACCAUGGAAUAUAACUAAGUAGCCAGAUCAGUUAGACCAAAUAUUAAGUCUCCACACUGUCAUGCCACCACUCUACAUAGUUUUUUUCCCUUCUAUCAUUUCUGUUUGCUUGAUAUCUCAUACAAAAUCAAUCAUCACUUCAAUGGAGAAAGUGAAUUUCAGAAUAAAAGUCCUCAGCAGACACCUAAAUCAAGAAACAUCCACACCCAAGUUUAUACUCGAAUCGUUUCCAUGUCUUAGCUACAAGCCACCUGAGCUUUCAGAACCAUCUGCUGUUUUCGACAUAAAAGAGAUGAGAAAGCUCGUGGAUGGUCACAAUUUGGAGGAAAGGGACUGGCUUUUUGGUCUGAUGUUACAAAGCAAUCUUUUUAACCCAAUGGAAAGGGGUGGCAAAGUGUUUGUUUCCCCUGAUCACAGUCAGUCUAAAGAACAACAAAGGGAAAUUACCAUGAGGAGAAUUGAGUACCUUCUUGAACAUGGGGUUUUUAAGAAAUGGUUUACUGGUGAAGGGCCUGAAAAUGAGUUGAGAAAGUUAGCUUUCUCGGAUUGUAUUGGCGUCUUUGAUCAUUCACUGGGCAUCAAGCUUGGAGUCCAUUUGACCCUAUGGUAUGUUCUUGUCCAUUGUGUGCCUAUUUUUAAUAUCCGGAAGUUAGUGGCCUGACUAAUUUGAAUACCUCUCGGGUAGGUCCCAACUAAGGGAGAAGUUAUCUAUUCUCGAGGCCUGAACUCGAGACGUAUGGUUAAGGGGAAGACAUCUGGUUAAGUGUGGCGUCCACUAAGAGAUAAGUUCUUCAUUCCCGAGAGUUGAACCCUUGGCCUAUGGUUAAGAGUUUGAAUUGUAGUUAAGAGGUUCUUCAUUUCUAAGACUCGGUAGAACCCGACUCUUGUGGUUAAGUGCAAGAUCUUUGGUUAAGUGUGAAGGGGUCACCUCCAUCCCACCUCACCUCUUGGUGGUCCGAAUGAUAAAUUGCUAUAAUGGUUGUUGUUACUGUUUGUUUUUCGCUCAAAUUAGUUGGGAUCAGAUAUAUGAAUCGGCUUUGUCUAUCUCAGAGAACUCAUAGUUCCAUUCUUUUUACUAUGGUUGUCAAAAGAUAUAAUUUUUGAAUAGGAAUAAGAAAGAAUACAAGUGACAUUUAAUUUUCCUGGACGGACAUUCUUGAUUGCUUGAUUGAUUGGUUAAAGAAAGUAUGCUUGGCAACUUUAGACCACCAGUCCGUGGAGGGUAGGAUGUACGCAAACCCUACCCCUGCCUUUGUGGGGUAGAUAGUUUGUUUCCGUUAGACCCUUGGCUCAAAACAGAAGUUUUUUAAGCAAGGAAAAUGCAAUAGAAAAAUAGCAAGAUACAAAGCAAAUGAAACAACAGAUAGUACCGCACAUUGAAAAAUAAGAAACUAAGGGAAUGCUAACUAGUACUACCACUACUAAUAGGAGGGGUAUUAUAUAAUUUUUUGAAUUAAUUUAAAUUAAUAAGUGUGAUAUUAAUUAGAAAGUCGUUUGUUUACAUUGAUGGGAUGUAUAAGAAUAUUUCAUGAGAUCUAUUAAUCCCACCUUUUGUAUGAAAUUGCUAAUUUCACCAUUUUGUACAAAAUUAUUUUCGGAACUAAUCAACAUCCAUAUUCAAAUAUUCUAAUACGACACUGAGGAGUUGUUCGGUAGCUGGUUAGAAUUAUGCAUGUAUUAGCUAUUCUAUCCUCUACUCCAUACAAGUUAAUACAUCAAUUUCCUCAUAACUUAUACAUGUAUUAGUUACGAGUUUCUAAAUUGCAACCAAAUGUCAUAUCAGUGUUAAACAUGAAUGACUUAUUUCCUAACUAACUGCCAGACAUUGUAUAACUUAUACAAAAAUUAGUACAUGUAUAAAUUGCUUCUUUACUAGCUACCAAACAAGCUCUGAUUGUUUUUUAUUGUAGUUGUUAGUCAACUAUUAUGUAAAAUAAUCAGACCUUUUGAAAUUUUCAGCUAUUGAUGUAGCCUCUUGUGGAUGCAGAUCUAGAAUCCUUAUUUUUUUAAUUAUUAUUAACCACCUAGCCCACCAACCUUGACCAUGGAAUAUAACUAAGUAGCCAGAUCAGUUAGACCAAAUAUUAAGUUUCCACACUGUCAUGCCACCACUCUACAUUGUUUUUUUCCCUUCUUAUCAUUUCUGUUUUCUUGAUUUCUCAUACAAAAUCAAUCAUCACUUCAAUGGAGAAAGUGAGUUUCAGAAUAGAAGUCCUCAGCAGACACCUAAGUCAAAAAACAUCAACUCCCAAGUAUACACUCCAAUCAGUCCCAUGUCUUAGCUACAAGCCACCUGAGCUUUCAGAACCAUCUGCUGUUUUCAACAUACAAGAGAUGAGAAAGCUCAUGGAUGGUCACAAUUUGGAGGAAAGGGAGUGGCUUUUUGGUCUGAUGUUACAAAGCAAUCUUUUUAACCCAAUAGAAAGGGGUGGCAAAGUGUGUGUUUCCCAUGAUUACAGUCAGUCUAAGGAACAACAAAGGGAAAUUACCAUGUGGAGAAUUGAGUACCUCCUUGAACAUGGGGUUUUCAAGAAAUGGUUUACUGGUAAAGGGCCUGAAAAUGAGUUGAGGAACUUAGCUAUCGCGAGUUGUAUUGGCGUCUUUGAUCAUUCACUUGGCACCAAGCUUGUAGUCCAUUUGUUCCU